This 254-nucleotide ribosomal RNA is filed under the name uncultured bacterium. RNAcentral's name for it is "partial 16S ribosomal RNA". It matches the Rfam family "Bacterial small subunit ribosomal RNA", at positions 524 to 776 of the family's 1533-position model. The record is from RNAcentral.
UACGUAGGGGGCUAGCGUUGUCCGGAAUCAUUGGGCGUAAAGCGCGUGUAGGCGGCUGGUCAAGCGUGGUGUGAGAUCUCCGGGCUCAACCCGGAAACUGCAUUGCGAACUGACCUAGCUGGAGUGCAGGAGAGGGCAGCGGAAUUCCCGGUGUAGCGGUGAAAUGCGUAGAUAUCGGGAAGAACACCAGUGGCGAAGGCGGCUGCCUGGCCUGUAACUGACGCUGAGACGCGAAAGCGUGGGGAGCGAACCGG